This 164-nucleotide small nuclear RNA is filed under the name Hucho hucho (huchen). RNAcentral describes it as "U1 spliceosomal RNA (ENSHHUG00000008582.1)". It matches the Rfam family "U1 spliceosomal RNA". Rfam says of the family: U1 is a small nuclear RNA (snRNA) component of the spliceosome (involved in pre-mRNA splicing). Its 5' end forms complementary base pairs with the 5' splice junction, thus defining the 5' donor site of an intron. Lineage: Eukaryota; Metazoa; Chordata; Actinopteri; Salmoniformes; Salmonidae. The record is from Rfam by way of RNAcentral.
AUACUUACCUGGCAAGGGAGAUACUGUGAUCAAGAAGGUGGUUCACCCUGAGCGAGGCUCAGCCAUUGCACUCCGGCUGUGCUGACCCCUGCGAAUUUCCCAAAUGUGGAAAUCUCGAUUGCAGAAGUUCUGGUAGUGGGGGACUGCGUUUGCGCUCUCCCCUG